AUCACUUCUCGACAUUUUGGCUAAGAUCAAGUGUAGUAUUUGUUCUUAUCAGCUUAAUAUCUGAUAUGUCCUCUAUCUGAGGACAAUGUAUUAAAUGGAUUUUUUUGAAUUAGGAGUUUGAAAAGGAGCUUGCUCCAUCCACUUUAGGCAUUUUCCCGGUAUUGCAGUACUUCCAGGAAUCCCCUC
Molecule: small nuclear RNA, 186 nt
Organism: Microtus ochrogaster (prairie vole)
Lineage: Eukaryota; Metazoa; Chordata; Mammalia; Rodentia; Cricetidae
Gene: U2
Rfam family: U2 spliceosomal RNA
About the family: U2 is a small nuclear RNA (snRNA) component of the spliceosome (involved in pre-mRNA splicing).
Source: Ensembl